Brassica oleracea var. oleracea is the source of this 308-nucleotide long non-coding RNA. RefSeq lists it as uncharacterized. The transcript is spliced from 3 exons. The record is from RefSeq and is a predicted model, not a curated record. Lineage: Eukaryota; Viridiplantae; Streptophyta; Magnoliopsida; Brassicales; Brassicaceae.
GUUUGAUGUCUCUCACUGAAUUUCUCUGUUUCUUUUUUGUAGGAUGUCGUCGGGAUUGUGGCGAAACUAUCAAAACUCUCUGAAACUCCGAAAGACAAAAAGGUUCGAAGUUGAGGGAGGAAACAAGAAGAUAUGUUGUAGUUACCGAAACAAUGAAAGGCUUGUGUUUCAUCAGAUUGAGGUCACUGAUCCUGUGAAGAAGAACGACUUCUACUCUGGAAGAGAGGAAAUAGGGAAGAUGUCACAAGAUGGGUGAGUCACGAACUGCAAGAUGUAGUCACGAGAGGGAAGAUGUCACAAGAUGCAAG